CGAACGAGAAAGUGGAGCAUCCAUGAGUACAGUGGCGUACGGGUGAGUAACACGUGGGUGAUCUACCUUUUAGUGAGGAAUAACCGAGGGAAACUUUGGCUAAUACCGCAUAAGCCCGAGAGGGGAAAGCAGAAAUGCGCUGAAAGAGGAGCCCGCGGCCGAUUAGCUAGUUGGUGAGGUAAGAGCCCACCAAGGCAGAGAUCGGUAGCCGGCCUGAGAGGGCACACGGCCACACUGGCACUGAAACACGGGCCAGACUCCUACGGGAGGCAGCAGUGGGGAAUCUUGCACAAUGGGGGAAACCCUGAUGCAGCGACGCCGCGUGAGCGAUGAAGCCCUUCGGGGUGUAAAGCUCUUUCGUCAGGGAAGAUAGUGACGGUACCUGGAGAAGCAGCUGCGGCUAACUACGUGCCAGCAGCCGCGGUAAUACGUAGGCAGCAAGCGUUGUUCGGAGUUACUGGGCGUAAAGGGUGUGUAGGCGGUUCUUUAAGUUUGGUGUGAAAUCUCCCGGCUCAACUGGGAGGGUGCGCCGAAUACUGAGGGACUAGAGUACGGGAGAGGAAAGUGGAAUUCCUGGUGUAGCGGUGAAAUGCGUAGAUAUCAGGAGGAACACCGGUGGUGUAGACGGCUUUCUGGACCGACACUGACGCUGAAACACGAAAGCGUGGGUAGCAAACAGGAUUAGAUACCCUGGUAGUCCACGCCCUAAACGAUG
This 715-nucleotide ribosomal RNA is filed under the name uncultured bacterium. Its description in RNAcentral is "bacterial SSU rRNA". It matches the Rfam family "Bacterial small subunit ribosomal RNA", at positions 63 to 811 of the family's 1533-position model. The record is from RNAcentral.